CAGUAGCCGCGGGAAAACGAAGGGGGCUAGCGUUACUCGGAAUUACUGGGCGUAAAGGGCGCGUAGGCGGCACGAUUAGUCAGGCGUGAAAUUCCUGGGCUCAACCUGGGGACUGCGCUUGAUACGGUCGAGCUAGAGGAUGGAAGAGGGUCGUGGAAUUCCCAGUGUAGAGGUGAAAUUCGUAGAUAUUGGGAAGAACACCGGUGGCGAAGGCGGCGACCUGGUCCAUUACUGACGCUGAGGCGCGACAGCGUGGGGAGCAAACAGGAUUAGAUACCCGCGUAGUCCCUGUCUCUUAUAC
This 301-nucleotide ribosomal RNA is filed under the name uncultured bacterium. RNAcentral's name for it is "partial 16S ribosomal RNA". It matches the Rfam family "Bacterial small subunit ribosomal RNA", at positions 509 to 807 of the family's 1533-position model. The record is from RNAcentral.